Molecule: long non-coding RNA, 1285 nt
Filed under: Salvia miltiorrhiza (redroot sage)
Lineage: Eukaryota; Viridiplantae; Streptophyta; Magnoliopsida; Lamiales; Lamiaceae
Description: long non-coding RNA (SMIL_LNC005184)
Source: RNAcentral
CUUCGAUGAAAUAACUUAAGAUCAUGUUUCAUACUUACAUGCUUUGGUGAAGUAACUUAACAUCAUGUUUCAUUCAUACUUACAUGCUUCGAUGAGACACCUUAAGAUCAUGUAGUGAGAAAUUUCAGUUCUGCGAAGUACCUGGAUCACCACUAGUUAGUGGGUUACCUUUGUUACAUUACGGCUUAGACAUUCUGUGCUGGGAUGUAGAGUUCCUAUGUUGAAGACCAGCUUAGAUAUCCCGCAGCACCGCUUAGAAAAUUAUGCGGCGCAGCUUUAGUAACUCUCUUGCUUUCAUUCCUGCGCAGCUUAAUAAUUUUACUUCAUCUUGUUAUUCCACUAAUUCCUCCUUUUCCUUUGCUGUUGUAUCUUUCUUCGCAUGAUCCUCGCAUUCAUCAACGAACAAUCACAAUUAGUUUUCAACUUCAUAACAUAUUUUCAUAUGAAUAAGAAAUAAAUUUUAAAUCAUCAUUCGUUUGGUCCUGUCCAGAUUUAAGAGUUGAAUUCCACCACAACAAGAUAUCAGCAAUAACAACAAUUACAUUUCAUUUACCCCAACCAUGAUCCAUUUUCACAAGAAAAUGCGCUGCAAAUUCAAUUGAAUCCCAAGUUAAAAAUUCACGAUUUCAUCAACUUACUAAGUACCCAAAUAAGGUAAGAGAUAGUGGCACAAUCCCAAAUUCAGAUAUUGAAAUUCAAAUGGCAUAUUCAAUGAAUAAUAUCAAUAUAUUUGAACGAAAAAAUCAACCCCAAAAUCAAUAAAAAAUUAUUCAUCAUUAUGAUAGAUUGAUAGGGUGACUCUAAACGCGGCAAUUGGUUUAAUCCAUGCUGCCAUUUACUCAAGGCAGCUGCGCUGCCCUUCGGUGUAUCUUCCAACCUGCGCUGCUCGAAACCCCGACCCUUACCCAAAUUGAAGGCUGAGUGGUUUAUGCAUGUAAUAGCGCACAUACUCAUGAGUGUUAAAGAAGACAGCAUUUCCAAUAGAUUCCCUGGAAAACGUUGCGCUCCCUCCACGAAAAAUGCCCUGCGCAGCCCUGAAUUUGUAAAGAAAAGUAGAGCAAAGUCAGUCUAAAAAACGAGACAUGGAUAACCCCAAAAUCAGCAGAUGCAAUCCCCAAUUAAAGCAAAAUUAAUCCUGAAAUAUCAGGAUUUUUGAAACGGCAGAGCUGGAAUCCCGCUGUGUUGAGAGAACCCUGUGCGGGGCUGAAAUCCCCUAGCGUCAAAAAAAGUCCUGCGCAGGCCCGUUCACCCAAAGCAGCUACGUUGCCCUUCGGAUCCAAAAAUU